This is a long non-coding RNA of Calidris pugnax (ruff), 1627 nucleotides long. RefSeq lists it as uncharacterized. The transcript has 5 exons. The record is from RefSeq and is a predicted model, not a curated record. Lineage: Eukaryota; Metazoa; Chordata; Aves; Charadriiformes; Scolopacidae.
GUUUCUAAUUCAGCUUUUACGUAGCCUGAUAGCUGUUCAUUACUGUAAGAAGAAUCUCACACAAAUGGAAGUUAUUCUAUUCAAGAUCAUCAGUGUCAUGGGCUCAGAGUUUGCUUGGCAAGGCCACCUUAUAGUUUGGAUUCUUGAAUCCCACUGAGGAUGCACAGAGCUGAUCUCUGAGUCUGUGAUAUCUGCUGCCACUCACAGGAGAGGGCACCAACAGGCUCCUUGGUGUUGGAGCAGUGAAUUCCCAGCUGGGGAGGACAGCAGCUUCUGCACUGUGCAGUACCAGCCAGGAUGGAAAGCUGAACAUCCAUACCCAUCGCUCUCCUGCUCUUCACAGACACAAUUCUCCACCUUUUUUUUUGGAUGAAGUGCAAUGGGAACAGGGCUGCACAGUGGAGAACUCAGUGUAGCAGAAGGAUGGGAAGCAUGGAGCUUUCUGAGAUGGUUUGGAUGUUGCUUCCACCAACUAGAAGGGAUGUUAUACUAAAAUUGUUCAUCAAAACUGAGACCUCAUAUGGAUUAUUCUAUUGGAAAGUCAAGAAAACAACCACUGAUUUUUUCCCCACAAAUAUAAAGCAGAGAUCUUGCAUAAGAGGAGACAAUGGUAAAAUAGCCAAGCACAAGAAGUUUAAGAAGAAGGCUGAGGUUAGAGCAGAGAGAAACUGUCAGAAGUUUUUAAAGAAAUUUUAUGAAGCCAUAUUUGUAUUCAAAAUCUAUGAUCAUUUUGAAAGCAAAGUAACUACUGUUAGAUUAUUUGCUCAAAGUAGCUUUGUAGUCAGAAACACCCCAUCACUUGUAUCCCACUCCAAAAAAUACAUUCUAUAUAAUUCUGAAAUCCCAAAAGACAAGACAAAUAAUCUGCAUUUAUGAUGCUUAGUGUUUUGGGAUUAGAUGGAAAUAGCUGUAUUUUUCUAGAAAUGUUAUUCUGGAAUAUUUGAACAACUCAACUUUUGGACCAGGUGCCUGGGUGGUGUGUGUGAUGUGGGUACAUGAGCACUAUGAGGUGGACUUGAACUGUUGCUGCGGUUCCUGUACAUCACUUGCCACAGCCGGGCAUCAUGGCCCCAGUAAAGCCAACCAAGAGUUUGCCAGUGACUUCACUGCAGCCAGAAUUUCAUGCCAGGCUGGGAGCAGUUGAUGGAGAGUGCCACGGGCUGGUGACCUGAAGCAAUUUCAAGUCAAUGACGUAGAAUUGAAAAACUUCCUUGUCACAUAACUGAUCUCAUUGGAAACCCAGGGCACUCAAAUUUCACUUUGGAUUUUAUACCGACUUUCCAUUCACAUUUAAACUAUGUAGAUAACAUGUUAAGGAAUUAUUCUUUAAAAAGUAAAGAAUUAAUUUCUUUUUGAGAUGGUUGAUUUGUAGACAACAUUUGUGUAAUUUUGCAUUCUAAAUGUGAUUUAUAUUUGUAAAUAAAUUUGCAUAAAAUCUCCAGCUUUUGAUGUCAUAGUUCUAUUUUAUCUUUAAUUCAGAUGUUCAAGAAAUGUAAAUUAUUUUUACAGCUAAAUAAAAGCUAUACAAAGCUGCCAGGAAAGAAUAAUGAGGUACACAUUGUGCCAUGCAGCCAUGAUAAAUCCAGCAGCACCAUGGUUACAGUCAAAAUAUGAGGUCAUCAACAAC